RNAcentral lists this ribosomal RNA (440 nucleotides) under uncultured bacterium. Its description in RNAcentral is "partial 16S ribosomal RNA". It matches the Rfam family "Bacterial small subunit ribosomal RNA", at positions 338 to 795 of the family's 1533-position model. The record is from RNAcentral.
CCUACGGGUGGCAGCAGUGGGGAAUAUUGCACAAUGGGGGAAACCCUGAUGCAGCGACGCCGCGUGAGUGAAGAAGUAUUUCGGUAUGUAAAGCUCUAUCAGCAGGGAAGAAAAUGACGGUACCUGAGUAAGCAGCCCCGGCUAACGACGUGCCAGCCGCCGCGGUCAUACGUAGGGGGCAAGCGUUAUCCGGAUUUACUGGGUGUAAAGGGAGCGUAGACGGCAGGGCAAGUCUGGAGUGAAAGGCGGGGGCUCAACCCCCGGACUGCUCUGGAAACUGGACGGCUGGAGUGCAGGAGAGGUAAGUGGAAUUCCUAGUGUAGCGGUGAAAUGCGUAGAUAUUAGGAGGAACACCAGUGGCGAAGGCGGCUUACUGGACUGUAACUGACGUUGAGGCUCGAAAGCGUGGGGAGCAAACAGGAUUAGAUACCCGUGUAGUC